UCUAGGGUUUUCGUUUUGAAUUUUUGAAUUUGAUCCCAACAAUCUUUCAAUUCAAUCCAUAUGUAUAUGUUUUUUGCUCGAUUUGGAUGUUUGAUCUAAUUCUUGGCAUAGGAUUUGAUUAAAUUUGCUGUUCCAGCUUUGUCUGUGAUGGCGUAGAUAGCCCCUGUGUUCGCAAAUUCAAUCAAGUGUUAUGCAGCAUGGUAAGCUGCCGUCCUGGGUUGAAAGUUUUGACCCCUUAUUCAUCUGAAGAUGCUCAUGGACUGCUAAAAGCUGCCAUUAGGGACCCUGAUCAUGUUGUUUUUCUUGAAAAUGAGUUGCUGUAAGUAGAUAUCAUUUUCAGGUAUCUAGGCUUCUAAGCUAAGACUUGCUUGGUAAAGCUUUUACUUUUGAACUUAAAAAAAAAAAUUGUGAGAUAAACUUGGUAUGCAGGAAAGAUUCUCACAAUAGUCUCUGUAGUAGUUUGACUGCAAAGAAGCAAGGUGUGAUAACCGGGGAAAAAGAGGAAACUAAAUGACGAUUUGUUAAAAGUUUGAACGAAACAGGACGGAUGAAAAUCUGCUCAAGUUAAUUUGGUUUCAGUACAAUUUCACAAAGUUUAUGUGAUCUGUGGGAUUUAUUAGACUAUUUGUUAGUCAUUACCCAGGGUCAGGGUGUGACAAAAUGGUAUCAAAGCGGGGAUUAGAAUCCCAAGGAAUUUACCUGUGGUGGUUGAAUGAACCAGUGGAUGGUUCUGGAAUCGUGAGAAUGUACUGGUGAUGAUGCUGACUCUUUCUCAUGUUUCAAUUUGUUUCUCUGACAUCUGGAAUUUUCUUCUUUGGUUGGAAAGUACAUUUAAAGAAGGAAACAGCCAGCAAUUGGUAACUGUGACUCCACUCUCUUAAUAUUGCUUCUUGAAUUUUUGUGUGGUUUAUUUUCCGUUGAAUGUCUUAUAUAACAAGCAUCAUUUUAAAUUAUAGUGAAAAAGGUUUUACAAGCUUAGGACAAACUGGUAUUGUUUUCAGGUAGGUAUGUGUAUUAUGAGAACCCCAUACAGAUCUUGGCUCAUUUGGUAUCCUUAUACCUCAUGCUUUAACUGUCAAUAUUUGCUGUUUGGUUGCAAGUAAAUAAUUUCUUAUCUUACUGUUGUAUUGCUGUAUGAGCAUUUAUCUGUGCAUGCUUUUAAUCUCGCAAAGAGGGUAGUGGGUGCUAUAAUGUAGAAAAUUACAAACUGGAGGUCAUGACUCUUUAUUAGUUAUAAAGAUUUCUUGAUGGUUUUGGCUGGAAGUAGAGAGUAAUAUUAGCUGGAUUUUUCUGUGUUGACUACUUUAAGUGUGGUAGUUGUUCACUGGUAGUAAUAAUGUUAUGGGAAUGCUCAGCUUGUGAAGUAUAAAGCUUUAUUGUUGCCUUAUUAAUAGACAUAAGAGUCAUUAUAUAUGAAAGUCGUAAUAACAGAAGAUGUCUUGGAUGGAUGUUGUAUUUAUUGGUGAUUCAAAGAAGUUAUUAGUAUCUUUUUGGGAAUUGAGUUAUAGUAGUUGCUCUAUUACUAGUAAUUUGUGAUUAUAAGUUUCCAUUAUGUAUUUUAAGAAAGAAUAAUCAAUCAAGGUUUGGAUAGAUUGCAACUUGUGUGUUUUGCCUAGAUAAGUUUCUCUCAUGUAAUUAUAUCAAUAAUUUUAGUUGUCUUCUUGGGACAACUUGUUUGGUAUAUAUAGAAAGAUUUCUAGAAAUGUUGAGGACAUAUCUGUUGUUUGUCCUUAGCAUUUUCAAUGUUCUCUCUUCUCUGUGGGUGUACUUCAGAAGCAGCACAAAGAGGGUAUGUAUUUGUGCUAAAUAAAGGUUAUUGACAGGCUUGAUGAUGUCCUAUGUUUUAUGUUAAUGGGUUACAAAGAGUAAAGUCCCUUUCUUUUAUGUUGAUUAUUCAAGUGAGAUUGGCAUGCUGUUAUGCUGUUAAGUCAUGCUAGUUGAGUUUGUCUUUCUCCCUACUUGAGUUUCGUGUUUUGCUCGGAUUCUAUCCUUAUUCGAUUGUGUAUUUAUAUGAGUAAUUGUUUUGCAGCUGAGACAAUUUUCAGCGCUAGAUUAAAGGAAUGAUUAAUAUGAAACAAUUGGUAUAGCAAAGGUGGGCAUGCUCCAGGAUGGCAAGAUGUGCAGCCUCAUGAUCCUCAAGUUCAAGAUGCAGCCAACCAUGUUGUGAAGAGCCUUCAACAAAAGUCCAAUUCAUUGUUCCCUUAUGAGCUUCAAGAGAUUGUCCAUGCUAAGGCAGAGGCUAUGGAUUCAUUUGAGCCCUAUGGAAAUGAAACAAAUGGAGAGAAUGGCGCAAAUGUAGAAAAUGUCGCAAAUGGAGAAAAGAGGGCAGAGCAUGCAUUGCCACCCCCACCCCCUGUUAUCCCACCAGAUGUUGUUCCAUUGCGUGCUCAAGUAGAUAUUACACCUGAACCUUUAAAGGAGAAGAUUGUGCGCCUACCAAUUGCUAGGCUAGGCCUUGGAACAAAAGGGCAAAAGAUUCCUCUGCUGACUAAUAGAUUUAAAUGUCUUACUAUUUGAACAUAUAUAGGCAACAGCUAUAAAUCUUGUGGGGUGAGGAUGCAUUCAAAGAUGGGCAUACAAUCAGCUUCUACAUAGAGCCUAAAGUAUUUAGUUUACUCAUUUGAUGGUUUACAAUGUUUGUAUUUGAUGAACUACUGUUCAUUUCGUAAAUGGACCAAAGGAAUGCACAAUCUAAUUCCAGAA
Molecule: RNA transcript, 2703 nt
Organism: Rosa chinensis
Lineage: Eukaryota; Viridiplantae; Streptophyta; Magnoliopsida; Rosales; Rosaceae
Gene name: protein argonaute 4
Exons: 4
Source: RefSeq, a predicted model, not a curated record